CGGGUGUGAAUUAGCGGCGAACGGGUGAGGAACACGUGAAGAAUCUGCCUUCAACUCUGGGAUAACUCCGGGAAACCGGGGCUAAUACCGGAUAUGAGCCUUGAUCGCAUGAUCGGGGCUGGAAAGUUUUUCGGUUGAAGAUGACUUCGCGGCCUAUCAGCUUGUUGGUGAGGUAAUGGCUCACCAAGGCGACGACGGGUAGCCGGCCUGAGAGGGCGACCGGCCACACUGGGACUGAGACACGGCCCAGACUCCUACGGGAGGCAGCAGUGGGGAAUAUUGGGCAAUGGAGGAAACUCUGACCCAGCGACGCCGCGUGAGGGAUGAAGGCCUUCGGGUUGUAAACCUCUUUCAGUAGGGAAGAAGCGAAAGUGACGGUACCUACAGAAGAAGCACCGGCUAACUAUGUGCCAGCAGCCGCGGUAAUACAUAGGGUGCAAGCGUUGUCCGGAAUUAUUGGGCGUAAAGAGCUCGUAGGUGGUUCGAUACGUCGGAUGUGAAAAUCAGGGGCUCAACCCCUGACCUGCAUCCGAUACGGUCGAGCUAGAGUUUGGUAGGGGAGACUGGAAUUCCUGGUGUAGCGGUGGAAUGCGCAGAUAUCAGGAGGAACACCGAUGGCGAAGGCAGGUCUCUGGGCCAAUACUGACACUGAGGAGCGAAAGCGUGGGGAGCGAACAGGAUUAGAUACCCUGGUAGUCCACGCCGUAAACGGUGGGCGCUAGUUGUGCGAACCUUCCACGGUUUGUGCGACGCAGCUAACGCAUUAAGCGCCCCGCCUGGGGAGUACGAUCGCAAGAUUAAAACUCAAAGGAAUUGACGGGGCCCCGCACAAGCAGCGGAGCAUGCGGCUUAAUUCGACGCAACGCGAAGAACCUUACCAAGGCUUGACAUAUACAGGAAUAUGGCAGAGAUGUCAUAGCCGCAAGGUCUGUAUACAGGUGGUGCAUGGGUGUCGUCAGCUCGUGUCGUGAGAUGUUGGGG
RNAcentral lists this ribosomal RNA (981 nucleotides) under uncultured Actinomycetales bacterium. RNAcentral describes it as "bacterial SSU rRNA". It matches the Rfam family "Bacterial small subunit ribosomal RNA", at positions 82 to 1080 of the family's 1533-position model. Lineage: Bacteria; Bacillati; Actinomycetota; Actinomycetes; Actinomycetales. The record is from RNAcentral.